Molecule: ribosomal RNA, 326 nt
Filed under: uncultured eukaryote
Lineage: Eukaryota
Description: partial 18S ribosomal RNA
Rfam family: Eukaryotic small subunit ribosomal RNA
Source: RNAcentral
CCCUUAGAUGUUCUGGGCCGCACGUGCGCUACACUGAUGCAUUCAACGAGCCUAGCCUUGACCGAGAGGUCCGGGCAAUCUUUGAAACUGCAUCGUGAUGGGGCUAGAUUAUUGCAAUUAUUAAUCUUCAACGAGGAAUGCCUAGUAAGCGUGAUUCAUCAAAUCGCGUUGAUUACGUCCCUGCCCUUUGUACACACCGCCCGUCGCUCCUACCGAUUGAGUGUGUUGGUGAGGAGUUUGGAUUGGCCUCGGAAGGUGGUUCGCCACCGUCCGUAGCUGAGAAGUUCUCCAAACCGCCCCACUUAGAGGAAGGAGAAGUCGUAACA